AAAUGUUUAUUACAACUUAUUACAAGCCAGAAUAAUAAAGUACAUCAGAAAAUUACAAAGAAAAGUACAACCAGAGGAAUUCUGAUUCUUGACUUCCAUUCUGAGUUAUGAGAUAGACCAACUCAAAGACCAUUGAUCCAAAUCCUUUCUCCAAUUUGGAUGUGUCAGACUUCCCUAAGAGCCUCAAUGGGGUUCCGGGCAGUGGUCACACCCAAAUUGUAUCACCAGAAUAGGGAUACGUGCAGUAUGGAAGUGCCAACCUUGAAGUAUCCAAGUUCAGAGGGAGCUCAUGGGUCCCAAGGCAAGGCUUAAAGAGGGGGGAAAUGCAAGUGAAGAAACAGAGUUUUGAGGAAAUAAAGGAGAGGGAAAUGGGUGUUGGGAAAUCGUAAAGGGCUUAUGUACUUAGGCAAGGAUUAGCUGUGGGCAUGCACAACAAUAGAAGAUGCUGGCAUCCUUAUAAGCCCACAAGAACACACUAUACUAAAGAAAAUAGAGGUUAUGAUCCCAUGGAUCAAGUUUGAGUCAUGGACAUCAAUGCUCAAUACUAUCAUGCCUCAAACAAACCAUCGAUAUCAAACAAAUCGGGGUAGGGGAUUAGGAUACUUACUACAUAGAUUCUGAAUAGAAGAAAGAAAUUAAAACAUGCUAGAAUAAAGUACUGCAUUAAACACAAGUAGUAAGCAGACAAGAAGGUAAAAGCAUUAAGUAAACAUAUUGUUGUGAUGCUUAAAUUUUAAUUAGAAUAUACCAUUUCAGAAAAGAAAAAUAAAAUAAAGGCAAGGUAGAAGGAUUUUGAAAUAUAGCUUUGGCUUUCAGCAAGCUAAAUAGGCCACAGUAGAAGUAGUAAAGGGGGAGAGAAAGUUUUGAGUGUAAGUGAUAUUAGAACUAAGAGUGUUCGUGUUUUUGCUAAUGAAAGAGUGAGGUACCUAUAGUUUGAAAACAGGUAGAAAAUAAGGCAAGAUCUAUAGUUUAGUAGUAAUUAUAGAACUAUGUAUCUAUUAAAAUCAAAUCAGUAUAAGUACUUCCUUUAAUUAAUGAGUUAAAUCAACGAACGGUAAUGGGCAGAAAACAUUUAAGGAAAGAAAUCAAGUAGAGCAUCAUAUAUAGAAUAGAUAAUUAGUGGUAGGUACAUAGAGGUCCAAUUAAUGAAACAACUAAUGAAGAAUCAGUAAAAAUAAUUGGUUAACCAAAUAAGGUAGGAAACACAAUAGAUUUGAAAAAUAUGGAGACAAUCAGCUCCCAAUAAAUCAGGGAGUCAAUGGUUUGAAAUUACUGAUUUAAGGAGAAUCACACGGGUCCGAAGCAUAAGCAAAUAAACCGAGUUAAAAAUAAGAGAAUCGAAGUCUAAGGAAGGUUUUCAAAUCAGGCCCAGAAACAAGGAGCUUAGAAUCAAUGAAAGAGAGAACCAUGAGUCCUGUUUUGGCAUAUAAAUAGAAUGCACAAACAUGAGGCAUGUGAUGCUAAACUAUGGCAAAGAGAAGCAACAUGUGAUAACAAUCACAAAGUCAGUAGACAGUGAAAUAUGGUAGUCACUAAGGUCAACAUAGUAAUAGAGAAAAAGGGUAUCAGAAUCAUGCAAAAGGUCAAGUAAAAAGGCCCUUAUAAAAAUUAUAUUCUAGUUUCAAUGGUUGCAAAAAACCAAAUCACAUAGAAAAAUAGAAGUUGAAACAAAAAGAACUUUGAAUCCAAUCGAGCAAUUUCAAAUAGAUGAAGCCAUUUUCAGAAACUCGAAUAGGCCCAAAGAAAUUAGGGCUUUGAACCAAUCAAAUUUAGAGAUGAUGAACAAGUAAAUCAUACAGCAGAUAGUCUCAGAACUUGAUGGAACCAAAAUUUAAGGGUUUUCAACAUAAAUCGAGUCUAGAGAUGGAAAUUAAGUAAAUCAGACAAAUACUAACACAAAAUAUAUUCGAAAAUCUCAAAAGAAACUAAGACUCCUGACAUGCAAACUCCAGUAAAGAACGACAUAAGGAAACACAACAGAACAUGUUAAAAAUAAAAAAAGCUUCAAAAUAACUUAAUGAAAACCAAAAUCGGAAAAGAUAAAUAGGUUUCAAAGGUAGAGUUUGAAAGAAACCUUGAGAAAAACAUUUAGAAGUUUAGAGCAAACACAGAUCUAAAUAGACCUAAAAGAAAUCUAAAGAACCUUAAAGGUUAGGGUUUCAGGAAAACCCCAGAUGAUGAGAAAGGCUUGGAAAAUCAUCGAUCUAAGCAGGAGAAAUAAAGAAUCAGUCUUGAAUAGCCAUGGCUGGUCGGAGCAAAGUUAAAGAUGACCAAAGACAGCCAUAGAACUGAAAUCAGCCAAGGUCUGGACCAAACUUUUCAAGGAUUCAGCCUUGAAACCAUGAUACUUGAACACAUAGAAGCCUAGGGAGGUGGAUACAGGCCUCCAAUGGCUUUGGAAGCCAUUGAUUUCGGCGAUUUUAGGGUGGUAGUUGAGGGCGGCGGCUAUGGUUUGUGAGAGGAUUGAGAAAGAAGGGGAUUCAGAGGUGGCUGUAGGUGAGAAAAUU
This 2507-nucleotide long non-coding RNA is filed under the name Nicotiana benthamiana. RNAcentral describes it as "long non-coding RNA (NBEN_LNC040339)". The record is from RNAcentral. Lineage: Eukaryota; Viridiplantae; Streptophyta; Magnoliopsida; Solanales; Solanaceae.